AUCCCUGACAAAGUGAAAGGUAAGGUUUAUAUAACAUCUAAUGUACAACAUAUCCACAAGAUGAGUAUAGUAGAAAUGCAAAUAUUACAAUGGAUGUCUAGCCUUAUGAUGAUGGAUAAGAUUUGGUCUGACCACAUCUGGCACAUAGUGCACAUAGCACAUAUUGGGGAUAAAGUGAGAGAAUGUCAAUUAAAAUUGUUUAGUCCUGUCCAACAUAGAGAAUCAAAUACUUUAGUACGAAAAUGUGAUAAAUUAGUGGUGAAA
This 264-nucleotide unclassified non-coding RNA is filed under the name Hevea brasiliensis (rubber tree). Lineage: Eukaryota; Viridiplantae; Streptophyta; Magnoliopsida; Malpighiales; Euphorbiaceae. The record is from RNAcentral.